AACGCACAUUGCGCCCAUUGGUAUUCCGAUGGGCAUGCCUGUUCGAGCGUCAUUAUCAACCGUCAAGCCUGGCUUGUUAUUGGACCCGCCGUCCGGCCAAAGGACGGGUCCCAAAGGCAAUGACCGUGUCGAGUGUGACCCCAGAUGCAAUGAGCUUUGUUAAGCACGCAUCUCAGGGACCACCCGGCCCGGCCGCGACCAUUUUUCUCAGGUUGACCUCGGAUCAGGUAGGGAUACCCGCUGAACUUAA
This 250-nucleotide unclassified non-coding RNA is filed under the name uncultured Ascomycota. Its description in RNAcentral is "sequence contains ITS2". The stretch from base 1 to 52 matches the Rfam family "5.8S ribosomal RNA", at positions 103 to 154 of the family's 154-position model. The record is from RNAcentral. Lineage: Eukaryota; Fungi; Ascomycota.